AAAAAGGCAAACCCUGGGUUUCCGUGUCUAACUUUAACUGUCCGUCUUAUAUGAAAUUUUUUUAUAAUUCAUAUUUUUAUUGUUGUUAGAUGAUAAAACAUGAUUAAUACUUUGUGCGUGACUUGUCUUUUUAAUUUUUUUCAUAAUUUUUUCAAAUAAGACGAACGGUCAAACGUUGGGCACGGAAACCAGGGUUUGUCUUUUU
This is a microRNA precursor of Oryza sativa Japonica Group (Japanese rice), 205 nucleotides long. It matches the Rfam family "MIR812 microRNA precursor family". The record is from Rfam. Lineage: Eukaryota; Viridiplantae; Streptophyta; Magnoliopsida; Poales; Poaceae.